RNAcentral lists this ribosomal RNA (505 nucleotides) under uncultured bacterium. RNAcentral's name for it is "bacterial SSU rRNA". It matches the Rfam family "Bacterial small subunit ribosomal RNA", at positions 33 to 541 of the family's 1533-position model. The record is from RNAcentral.
AAUCAACGCUGGCGGCGUGCCUCAGACAUGCAAGUCGAACGAUUAAGACUCCCUUCGGGGAGUGCAUAAAGUGGCGCACGGGUGAGUAACACGUAAGUAAUCUACCUUCGAGUGGGGAAUAACGUCCGGAAACGGACGCUAAUACCGCAUAACGCAGCGGCAUCGCUAGAUGACAGUUGUUAAAGGAGCAAUCCGCUUGAAGAGGAGCUUGCGGCAGAUUAGCUAGUUGGUAAGGUAAUGGCUUACCAAGGCUUCGAUCUGUAUCCGGUCUAAGAGGACGGUCGGACACACUGACACUGAAUAACGGGUCAGACUCCCACGGGAGGCAGCAGUCGGGAAUUUUGGGCAAUGGGCGAAAGCCUGACCCAGCAACGCCGCGUGAAGGAUGAAGUAUUUCGGUAUGUAAACUUCGAAAGAAUGGGAAGAAUCAGUGACGGUACCAUUUAUAAGCUCCGGCUAACUACGUGCCAGCAGCCGCGGUAAUACGUAGGAGCAAGCGUGUUAC